Long non-coding RNA from Rhodamnia argentea, 328 nucleotides. RefSeq lists it as uncharacterized. The transcript is spliced from 3 exons. The record is from RefSeq and is a predicted model, not a curated record. NCBI's taxonomy places the organism in Eukaryota, Viridiplantae, Streptophyta, Magnoliopsida, Myrtales, Myrtaceae.
UUUUAAUUCUAAUUACUUAUGGAGCCUUCUUUUCCUAACUUUGUGCCAUCAAAGGAUUUCUAAGAUAUAUAAACAAGGUAAAGCAAUCAUUCGGUGAACAUUCCUGGGUUUUCAGGUAUCUGAGCGGAUAUGAUCUUUCGGGACAGCUUCCAGAUUUCAGUUCCAUGGAUGCCCUCGUGACGAUAGAUCUGCACAACAAUAGCUUGAGUGGAUCCAUUCCGGAUUGUCUCGGCACAUUACCGAAUCUCAAAGAAUUGAACUUGGCCAAUAAUAAGUUGACUGGACCGAUCCCUUCGUCGCUGUCCAAAAACAACAAAAUUAAAUUAAC